RNA transcript from Corapipo altera (White-ruffed manakin), 929 nucleotides. It is a transcript of the gene named ras homolog family member F, filopodia associated, with no coding region annotated. The transcript is spliced from 6 exons. The record is from RefSeq and is a predicted model, not a curated record. NCBI's taxonomy places the organism in Eukaryota, Metazoa, Chordata, Aves, Passeriformes, Pipridae.
CCGUGCCCGCUCCCCGUCCCGCUCCCGCUCCAUGGAAGCGGCCAACGGGGCCGUGCCCGAGGGCGCGGCGGGGGAGCCCCGCGGCAGCGCGGCCGCCCCGUCGGGCAGGAAGGAGGUGAAGGUGGUGAUCGUGGGGGACGGGGGCUGCGGGAAGACGUCGCUGCUCAUGGUGUACGCCAAGGGCUCCUUCCCCGAGCAAUACGCGCCCUCCGUCUUCGAGAAGUACACGACGAGCGUGACGGUGGGGAAGAAGGAGGUGACUCUGAACCUGUACGACACCGCAGGGCAGGAGGACUACGAUCGGCUGCGACCUCUUUCUUACCAGAACACAAAUGUCGUGUUAAUUUGUUACGAUGUCAUGAACCCCACUAGCUAUGACAAUGUAGCAGCCAAGUGGUACCCUGAAGUGAAUCACUUCUGCCGAGGGGUCCCGCUCGUGCUCAUCGGCUGCAAGACGGACCUUCGGAAGGACAAGGAGCAGCUGCGCAAGCUCAGGGCUUCCAAGCAGGAGCCCAUCACUUACAACCAGUCUUUUACAGCUGGUGGCAUCUUGAGUCACACGACAUGAUGCUUCCAAUACCAGGCACAGAGGAGCUGAACAGUCUCUGCCAGCACUGCAGCUUGCAAACAACUGGAAGGAGACAAACUGCUUAAAUAUGAAGAAAAUCCCCCCUAUAGAAGCCCAAGUGCUCAAGUGACUCCACUCCCAGGGCUUAUAAUGAAUAAAUGCACUUUGUGAGUUGUGGGUUGCAGACCUGGAAUUCACAGUGAAAGGCUCACAAGCAUUCAAACCUGGGAGCUGGCCCUGCACUGACAAUAGAAGGAUCACAAGCAAAGGAGAGGCAGCUUGUCAGGAGAUUCACGCAGAGGUUUAUCUGGAAUGCUCAGCAAAAUGCCGGGAAAACAUAGAAAAUGUUUUUAAAGAAGCA